CCACCGCCUGCUUCCUCGAGACCACGCGAAUGACGAUCUCAGCGCCUGUCUGUUGCCCUUCCUCAACAACAACAACGACGCAGGGUCGACAGUGUACUGCAAGAUUUGUGUAGUUUAUUACUCAAACAGUUCUUAUUCUGAUUCAGCAGGUAGUCUUGUCAGAGGGUAAUGGUGAAGAUGACGAUUUUUUCAUUGUACGUACAAACGUGAUCUUGAAGAGAAUGGUUCAAUGGAGGAUGUCACGCUUGUUCUGAAUUUGGUAUUUACACUAUAUAUUUAUUAGCCAGGCUUUUUAUGUUUAUUUAUUAUUACUUCCAAAAUUCCUGUAGUUGAUACAUAUUGUUUUGCAUGUCUCCUACAAAAUCUUUGAUCUGUCAAUACCAAGCCCUAAACAUAUUUUAAACACUCUACACCCCUUGAAAUGCACUAACAACAGCCAAUUAUCUGGCUUGUGAAUAUAUGCGGGGACCAGGUGAUAAUUUAGGUGCUAUGAGGGGUGGACCGUCUAGGACAUUGAUGGUAUGGACAAAGAAUUUACCUUCUAAGAGCUUUUUAUUUUUUGAGAUAAACAUAUGUCUUGCUAUUACAACUAUUAUUUGUUGAAUGAAGCUAUUGGAGUUAUUUGUUACUAUAUCAGCUUGCCAUUUUGUACAUGAAACCUUCCUGUUAUUUUAUUUCUGUGUCUAACAUGUUUGAAUCUUUGCAGCAUGCCUUUUGUGCAACACCAUAUUUUUAGCCCUUUGCCAUUCCAUUGAUUCUAGAUAAACUCGCUUCCUCUCUUCCAUUAGCAAAGGUCAGCAGCUUAACAUACAUUA
This is a long non-coding RNA of Lolium rigidum, 815 nucleotides long. RefSeq lists it as uncharacterized. Lineage: Eukaryota; Viridiplantae; Streptophyta; Magnoliopsida; Poales; Poaceae. The record is from RefSeq and is a predicted model, not a curated record. The transcript has 3 exons.